AUGAACGCUGGCGGCGUGCCUAAUACAUGCAAGUUGAGCGAACAGACGAGGAGCUUGCUCCUCUGACGUUAGCGGCGGACGGGUGAGUAACACGUGGAUAACCUACCUAUAAGACUGGGAUAACUUCGGGAAACCGGAGCUAAUACCGGAUAAUAUAUUGAACCGCAUGGUUCAAUAGUGAAAGACGGUUUUGCUGUCACUUAUAGAUGGAUCCGCGCCGCAUUAGCUAGUUGGUAAGGUAACGGCUUACCAAGGCAACGAUGCGUAGCCGACCUGAGAGGGUGAUCGGCCACACUGGAACUGAGACACGGUCCAGACUCCUACGGGAGGCAGCAGUAGGGAAUCUUCCGCAAUGGGCGAAAGCUUGACGGAGCAACGCCGCGUGAGUGAUGAAGGUCUUCGGAUCGUAAAACUCUGUUAUUAGGGAAGAACAAAUGUGUAAGUAACUAUGCACGUCUUGACGGUACCUAAUCAGAAAGCCACGGCUAACUACGUG
Molecule: ribosomal RNA, 496 nt
Filed under: uncultured bacterium
Lineage: Bacteria
Description: partial 16S ribosomal RNA
Rfam family: Bacterial small subunit ribosomal RNA
Source: RNAcentral